This 439-nucleotide ribosomal RNA is filed under the name uncultured bacterium. Its description in RNAcentral is "SSU rRNA". It matches the Rfam family "Bacterial small subunit ribosomal RNA", at positions 26 to 518 of the family's 1533-position model. The record is from RNAcentral.
AGAACGAACGCUGGCGGCAGGCUUAACACAUGCAAGUCGAGCGCCCCGCAAGGGGAGCGGCAGACGGGUGAGUAACGCGUGGGAACAUACCCUCCGGUUCGGAAUAGCUCAGGGAAACUUGGAUUAAUACCGGAUACGGCCUAGCGGCGAAAGAUUGAUCGCCGGAGGAUUGGCCCGCGUCUGAUUAGCUAGUUGGUGGGGUAAUGGCCCACCAAGGCGACGAUCAGUAGCUGGUCUGAGAGGAUGAUCAGCCACAUUGGGACUGAGACACGGCCCAAACUCCUACGGGAGGCAGCAGUGGGAAUAUGACAAUGGCGCAAGCCUGAUCCAGCCAUGCCGCGUGAGUGAUGACGGCCUUAGGGUUGUAAAGCUCUUUCGCUAGGGACGAUAAUGACGGUACCUAGACAAGAAGCCCCGGAUAACUCGUGCCAGCAACCGC